CAGCAACAAGUUGUCGAUGAGAUCCCUUCUCUUUUUUUUCCAUUCUACUAAUACGACGACAGGGAAUAAAACAACGGUAGUGCUUCCUAAACAGUCUCAAUCCAUGGACUAGAACCAAAUCCCCAAAUUCCUUCAUGUUACUUGUCUCAUUCUCCUUUUUCAACUACAACGACAAUGGCAGUAACAGCAACAACCAAGUUGCCAAUGACGGUGUUUCCUAAAUGGUCUCAAUCAAUAGACCGAAACCAUAUCCCCAAGUUCCCUUUUUGUUUUGGUUGUUUGUUUAUGGUAGAAUUAGGCCAAGAAAUUG
This 310-nucleotide long non-coding RNA is filed under the name Gossypium barbadense (sea-island cotton). RNAcentral describes it as "long non-coding RNA (GBAR_LNC002539)". Lineage: Eukaryota; Viridiplantae; Streptophyta; Magnoliopsida; Malvales; Malvaceae. The record is from RNAcentral.